AUUAAAGUUUAUGACUCUGCACUAAAAUAUUAUGUAUUUAAAUUGACAUCAUUAUUAUAAUAUUUAGGGUCAGACCCUACAGUAUUGAGAUUAAGAAAUCAAAUAUUCUAUAAAAUAUAAAUACACUGAACUCAUUUGGAUAUAUUUAAGUGAGACUCUACAAUAUUAUUUGACACAAAUCUAUCUAAAUCAAAACUUUAAUCAUUUUUACUCCAAACAUUUACUGGACUGAUUUAAACAUUAAAAUCACUCCUUUCUAAUCCUCUGCUGUACGUUCAAACCUGAGGCCUUAAAUAGAAACACACAAGUAUCUGAUUGAAGGAACUUCUGCAGAGUCCUGGUUCCAGAACAUGAUGAUAGAAUUAUAGACAAACUUUAACAAAAGCUGCCUGAGAGUUUACAGGUUUUUAUGUUAGAUUUCUUCAAUAAUUUAAUGAGAGUUAUCAGCAAAAAUCAAGUGUUCAUUUGAUGAACUUCAUUUCCUAAAACAUCCAGAAUUGGAGCUCAUAUCUUUGGCAGCUGUAAAGUUUCUGCUCCUUCAAAGUUCACAACACAAUGAAUGAAUUCCUAAAACACUCUCAAUGCUGGAGAGCGUUUGUGAUGCUGAAGCAGUGACCAGUUUUUCAGUUUCUUCUCUGGAGAUGCACAAUGAGGGACGUCUGCAGAGACUGAGAAAGAGUCUCACCACAUCCUGACAUGAGGAAAAAGACUUUAUUGAAGACUACAAUGAGAAAAACUAUCAGACAGCAGACGGCUGCAUUCAAGUCUGUAGCUGCUGAAUUCAUGGAUGAAUCAUCUGGCACUAGAGAGGAAGACCAUCAAACAUCCAUGUCAGCUGAUGGAGGUCCAAGAGUCUCACCAAACAAACAACCUACAGAGUGAAGACCUCGAACCUGAUUGGACGGCCUCCUAUUCAGCCACAUUUUAGGCUGUUAGAUUGUUCCAGAUAAGACAAGUACAAGAUUCUUCAGAGCCGUUCUACCACGAGCCUGACAGGAAGAACUCCAACAGCUACUGAAUGUUCCUGUGGUUCCCUCAAGGCUACAGGAGGAGUCCUACGAGGACGAGCCGGUCCACCUGAUGGAGGCCAGUCGCUGCGGUUCAAAGGCAACACCGACUACGUGGACUUCUACUGGACCACACGGAGGCCUUCAAACCGGACCAACAAGUUCAGCGACUCCCCGACUCGUGGGUCUGAGGACGCCGCCGAGCCUCGGUCCAGCCGGCCUCCUGUCUGUGGGUGUUUGAGUGCUGAGAGGUUUGUGGAUGCAUGUGAACGUGUCUGUGUUGAAACAGCAGCUUUGGACUCAGUAACGCCGGGAAAAACCAAGAGCUCCUUUAUUUGUGACUUCCACUAAAAAAAACUGAUGAAAAUAAGUUUGCCGGGG
This is a long non-coding RNA of Amphiprion ocellaris (clown anemonefish), 1388 nucleotides long. Lineage: Eukaryota; Metazoa; Chordata; Actinopteri; Pomacentridae. The record is from Ensembl.